CCUACGGGAGGCAGCAGUGGGGAAUAUUGGACAAUGGACGGAACCCUGAUCCAGCGACGCCGCGUGAGUGAAGAAGGAUUUCGGUAUGUAAAGCUCUAUCAUCAGGGAAGAAAGAAAUGACGGUACCUGACUAAUAAGCCCCGGCUAACUACGUGCCAGCAGCCGCGGUAAUACGUAGGGGGCAAGCGUUAUCCGGAUUUACUGGGUGUAAGGGAGCGUAGACGGCGAUGCAAGUCUGAAGUGAAAGGCGGUGGCCCAACCGCCGGACUGCAUUGGAAACUGUAUGGCUGGAGUGCAGGAGAGGUAAGUGGAAUUCCUAGUGUAGCGGUGAAAUGCGUAGAUAUUAGGAGGAACACCAGUGGCGAAGGCGGCUUACUGGACUGUAACUGACGUUGAGGCUCGAAAGCGUGGGGAGCAAACAGGAUUAGAUACCCGUGUAGUC
RNAcentral lists this ribosomal RNA (442 nucleotides) under uncultured bacterium. RNAcentral's name for it is "partial 16S ribosomal RNA". It matches the Rfam family "Bacterial small subunit ribosomal RNA", at positions 338 to 795 of the family's 1533-position model. The record is from RNAcentral.